CAGUCGCCACGGUAAUACGGAGGGUGCAAGCGUUAUCCGGAUUUAUUGGGUUUAAAGGGUCCGUAGGCGGACUUAUAAGUCAGUGGUGAAAGCCUGUCGCUUAACGAUAGAACUGCCAUUGAUACUGUAAGUCUUGAGUAUAUUUGAGGUAGCUGGAAUAAGUAGUGUAGCGGUGAAAUGCAUAGAUAUUACUUAGAACACCAAUUGCGAAGGCAGGUUACCAAGAUAUAACUGACGCUGAGGGACGAAAGCGUGGGUAGCGAACAGGAUUAGAUACCCGCGUAGUCCCUGUCUCUUAUAA
RNAcentral lists this ribosomal RNA (301 nucleotides) under uncultured bacterium. RNAcentral describes it as "partial 16S ribosomal RNA". It matches the Rfam family "Bacterial small subunit ribosomal RNA", at positions 509 to 809 of the family's 1533-position model. The record is from RNAcentral.